AGCUUGCAAUGGCUAAUCUACUUUACACCUUGUUGGAAAUUGGAGACCGUUAAUACAGAGUGUAACGAGAUUCAUAAAAAGGUACGACAAAAACGAGAAAUACAUCAUGUUAAAGAAAGGUCAGAGCAUCACCAGACACCAUUGGAACUACAAAAUACAUUUCUAUGGGACUUCGGACAAACCAUAUAGCUGCAUGUAAUGUAAUCCAAUUACUAUUUCAAUGUUUGAAUCCAUAGAGACUGAUUGAAAAGAUACAGGUCCAUACAGGAGUAUGCUCCGAUAAACAGUAUUAUAAGCAACUACGUACAACAAAUUUAACCACAACAUGGAGGUUUGAUGAUUCUUUUGGCGACUGUUAAAGGGAAUUUGUCAUUUUUCCUGAUUGGCCAUGAUAUUAGGCGUUUACAUUUCAAUGAAAACAAUCCAUUUUAUUCUCCAAAGAAAAAAAAAAAAAAAAACUUUAUUUACUCACACACCUUUCACCGAAUUGAAAAACACAAGAGAAGCAACGAUGUGAGAAACGAGCGCAAAAACCUGUGGAUAAAAAAAAAAAAGUAUAGUCGAAUAAUUGAAAAUAGGCUGCUGAAAAAAAAAUGAAAAAAUCGAUUAAGUCGACAAGCUUUAUGAGGGCAUACAUUACACGGCGGCUCGCUCGGGCGGCCGCUGGAAGAGCCGUUGAACCCUGAAAUGGGAUUUCUCCGGAGAAACAUUUCAGUUCGACAGCGUUUCGAAGCGACGCUACACGUUUCGCGCAGGGCCUUCUCCGGCGAUGCGCAGUUAGCUCCUAGCACCGUUCGUCGGCUAAUACAGCAGACGAGGUUUGGCUGCCAACCAGGCUGAGUGCAAACGUCGUGGGCUGGGGUUCAUCUCCACAGCACACAUACUUGUACGGUAAUGAACAGAAGUGAGUCAAAGUGACAUCUGCAGUAUUUUUUUAUGCAAAGAAAGUCUGGAAAUCUUGCUGGAGUUUGUUGCUAUUGAAAGUAAUGAUUGGUUAAAAUAAAGAUGGUCUUUGAUUGAUACAUUUGAUUGUAGAUCAGAAUCAGAAUCAGAAAGGAUUUAAUUGCCAAGAAGGGUGACGGCUAUGUUGUUGCCAGCUGGAAUGUAUUUGAGUUC
This 1116-nucleotide long non-coding RNA is filed under the name Gadus morhua (Atlantic cod). RNAcentral's name for it is "lncRNA (ENSGMOG00000028881.1)". The record is from RNAcentral. Lineage: Eukaryota; Metazoa; Chordata; Actinopteri; Gadiformes; Gadidae.